AAUUUUUUACAAUAAAGUAUCACACCUUUAAAAACCUCUUCAAUUGCAUUAAUUUCAGCGUCACAUUUGUUGGAUUCCAAGUUGGACACCAGGACUUCAGUGUUCGUCACAUUUGUUGGAUUCCAAGUUGGACACCAGGACUUCAGUGUUGUAAGUGCUUCUUUAAUGUCUUCGGUUGUUUCAUUUUGAUGAAACUCGCAACAACCUGGUAGCCAACAUUGGUUUUUACGCACAGGAAGGAAAAAUAAAGGAAGAGCAUAUUUCGUGGUUUUGUAUGUUGCAUCCAGCAAACCAAUGUCUUGGCCAUAACGAAGUAAUAACUUGUGCUGCCAAGCAAGUUGAUGAACCAAAAAAAAUGUUUCUUUGCUUUGCAUAAUUGGUUGAUCAUUAUCAGUAUCAGCCAUAUUAUGUGUGUUAUUGUUGGCAGCAAUAUAUUGCCGAAAGCAAAUAUUGUCAUCAGGGUAACCAUCAGUUUUCGACGCAUCCACUAACAAUUGAACGUUGACCUGAUCCAUUUUAGCAAGUUUUCGCUUACAUGAUGCAGAUUUAUAAUGAACAUCUUUAAUUGGAAAAUAUCUCCUGUUGAGGUGCUUCUUUAUUUUUAAAAAGCUCGUGAAUGACGAAUGAUUUAAGAGCCCGUUCAAUUUCUGCAACUGAGCGCACCCCAUCAUCAACCAUUUCAUUGAUUUUGGCUACAAUUCUUUUGUCAAUUGAUUGAUGGAUACCCGCACUCUAACAGAUAAAAAUCAGUUAUUGAGCAUGUAGUCCCAUCUUCCCCCACCCUACUAUAUCAUGCUAAUCAGUUUAAAACGUGCUCACUCAUUAGAUCUUUGAUCUCUUGUAUAAUACAAGUUUUAUAAAACUGUGUGUGUUUCUUGAUCACAAAAGGUUAAGUUUGUAUAAAACAUAUUUUAUUAUUCAUUCAUUUAUAAUAUAUAUAACUUGUUUAUAAUCUAAAAAUAAUAACUCCCAUUACAGUGUAACCAGAAAAUAUAUCUGGUUACAAAGGCUUCGCGCCACGCGCCAUUACCAGCCGAACCAUUUAUAUUAUGUCCCCAUUAAAUUUGUUAAUUUUAUUACCAGCCGAACCAUUUAUAUUAUGUCCCCAUUAAAUUUGUUAAUUUUAUUACCAGCCGAACCAUUUAUAUUAUGUCCCCAUUAAAUUUGUUAAUUUUAUUUAAAAAAUACUCUGCAAAGCUUACUCGGACAUGCUAAAUACCUAUUUUAAUUAAAUUAGCUGACUGUACAAUUAGAAUAACAGUUAAGAGGUAGCAAUUUUAACGAUUAGAAUAACAGUUAAGAGGUAGCAAUUUUAACGAUUAGAAUAACAGUUAACAGGUAGCGAUUAGAAUAACAGUUAAGAGGUAGCAAUUUUAACGAUUAGAAUAACAGUUAACAGGUAGCGAUUAGAAUAACAGUUAAGAGGUAGCAAUUUUAACGAUUAGAAUAACAGUUAAUAGGUAGUAAUUUUAAGUAUAAAAAGAUUUUAUGUGCUUGUGGCUAUUUAUGACGUCACUAACAAGCUCCACAGGGUGAAUUUGCCACUCAGUUCUACUAUCUACCAGUCCGCCAGGUCCACUAGGUCUUUACUAUUAGGUAUGUUAGUCUUAGAUUAGCAAUUUUUCCAUUGGGUAUGUUAGUCUUAGGUUUCUUGAUUUUGUCAGCCUUAGGUCUGUUAGACUUAGCAUUUGGGUGGUCUGUUAAGUAUACUGGACCCACUCGCUCCAGUACUGGGUCCAUCAACUGGUACCGUGUUUAAUUUGAAAACGUUUUGUAAUAUCUUUUGUUUUUUAAUCUUACCUUGUUAUUGUGUCAAGAGUAAGCUUGAAAAGUAUCACCAUAGUAAUAAAAUGGUGUUUAAGCUUGAAAAGUAUCACCAUAGUAAUAAAAUGGUGUUUAUAGAGUACUACGCAUAUCCUGUGUAAAGCCCCGUUAUCACCACUUUGUGUGUUGUGAUACUAUGCAUGUUCAUUCAUUAAAGCUAUGCUAAAUUGUAAACCUAAAGUACUCCUAGCUACGCCACCGUGGCAGUACACUCUCGCUUUUGAACCACACGAUGUCAGGUGUGUAGGCUUGUUAUUUCAACGCUGCAGAUACGUGUGCCCUUUUGCAAAACAGCCAACUAAUUAUUCUAGCUUGGUUAUCUAAAUAGCCAGCCAUACAGAAUACAUAUAACAACAAUCACCCAUUAAGUUACAUUAUUAGUAACCGGGUAUGACGUGCCCGAAACAGGACUGUUGCUGUCCGCAACUUAAAACAUCAAAUGACAUAUUAAUGUUGAAACUACAUAGAACAAAUAAACAAGCCUACUUUAUAUUAGCGGAAACAAGUUUUGCAAAAUAACAUAAAGCAUGGAUGGUUUAUGUGGGAAGAAUAGUCAUACGAAAACAUCUUUCAUGAAUAUAAUUGAUCCAAAGUGUAUGCGUUUUUUAUCUCAGGAAACUUUAGCAAGCUUACAGCCAGACAUAAGAAUAAUUAAUAAAAAUGCCUAAGAAUAAAACCAAGAACUAUCCAUGCACAAUUUGUAACGAUAAUUGUAAAAGUGUAUUGAAUGCUGAUCUUGUAAGGAAUGGGUCCACUAUGAAGAAUGGAGAAACACACGUUUAAUUUUUUUUUUGCAGCACAUGUGCAACGACAAACAACAACAAAGAGGUAUACGAUUUCGAACGUGCUCUUUCCUGAAUAAAUUCCAGCCUUUCUGGAAUAAAUUCCAGCCUUUCUGCAAAAUGAACGAAGUCUUUUUGUAUGGUUAUCGCCAACCAAGAGCUGUUGUUGAUUGAAACAUACUAAGCUCAAC
This is a non-coding RNA of Ciona intestinalis (vase tunicate), 2797 nucleotides long. NCBI's taxonomy places the organism in Eukaryota, Metazoa, Chordata, Ascidiacea, Phlebobranchia, Cionidae. The record is from RefSeq and is a predicted model, not a curated record.